RNAcentral lists this ribosomal RNA (492 nucleotides) under uncultured bacterium. Its description in RNAcentral is "partial 16S ribosomal RNA". It matches the Rfam family "Bacterial small subunit ribosomal RNA", at positions 29 to 507 of the family's 1533-position model. The record is from RNAcentral.
AGUGAACGCUGGCGGUAGGCCUAACACAUGCAAGUCGAACGGCAGCACAGUAAGAGCUUGCUCUUACGGGUGGCGAGUGGCGGACGGGUGAGGAAUACAUCGGAAUCUACUUUUUCGUGGGGGAUAACGUAGGGAAACUUACGCUAAUACCGCAUACGACCUACGGGUGAAAGCAGGGGAUCUUCGGACCUUGCGCGAUUGAAUGAGCCGAUGUCGGAUUAGCUAGUUGGCGGGGUAAAGGCCCACCAAGGCGACGAUCCGUAGCUGGUCAGGGAGGAUGAUCAGCCACACUGGAACUGAGACACGGUCCAGACUCCUACGGGAGGCAGCAGUGGGGAAUAUUGGACAAUGGGCGCAAGCCUGAUCCAGCCAUACCGCGUGGGUGAAGAAGGCCUUCGGGUUGUAAAGCCCUUUUGUUGGGAAAGAAAAGCAGCAGGUUAAUACCCCGCUGUUCUGACGGUACCCAAAGAAUAAGCACCGGCUAACUUCGUG